Molecule: ribosomal RNA, 253 nt
Filed under: uncultured bacterium
Lineage: Bacteria
Description: partial 16S ribosomal RNA
Rfam family: Bacterial small subunit ribosomal RNA
Source: RNAcentral
UACGAAGGGGGCUAGCGUUGCUCGGAAUCACUGGGCGUAAAGGGUGCGUAGGCGGGUUUUUAAGUCAGGGGGGAAAUCCUGGAGCUCAACUCCAGAACUGCCUUUGAUACUGAAGAUCUUGAGUCCGGGAGAGGUGAGUGGAACUGCGAGUGUAGAGGUGAAAUUCGUAGAUAUUCGCAAGAACACCAGUGGCGAAGGCGGCUCACUGGCCCGGUACUGACGCUGAGGUGCGAAAGCGUGGGGAGCAAACAGG